RNAcentral lists this ribosomal RNA (820 nucleotides) under uncultured Rhodopseudomonas sp. Its description in RNAcentral is "bacterial SSU rRNA". It matches the Rfam family "Bacterial small subunit ribosomal RNA", at positions 43 to 906 of the family's 1533-position model. Lineage: Bacteria; Pseudomonadati; Pseudomonadota; Alphaproteobacteria; Hyphomicrobiales; Nitrobacteraceae. The record is from RNAcentral.
CUGCGCAGCUACCAUGCAGUCGAACGGGCGUAUCAUACGUCAGUGGCAACGGGUGAGUAACGCGUGGGAACGUACCUUUUGGUUCGGAACAACUGAGGGAAACUUCAGCUAAUACCGGAUAAGCCCUUACGGGGAAAGAUUUAUCGCCGAAAGAUCGGCCCGCGUCUGAUUAGCUAGUUGGUGAGGUAAUGGCUCACCAAGGCGACGAUCAGUAGCUGGUCUGAGAGGAUGAUCAGCCACAUUGGGACUGAGACACGGCCCAAACUCCUACGGGAGGCAGCAGUGGGGAAUAUUGGACAAUGGGGGCAACCCUGAUCCAGCCAUGCCGCGUGAGUGAUGAAGGCCCUAGGGUUGUAAAGCUCUUUUGUGCGGGAAGAUAAUGACGGUACCGCAAGAAUAAGCCCCGGCUAACUUCGUGCCAGCAGCCGCGGUAAUACGAAGGGGGCUAGCGUUGCUCGGAAUCACUGGGCGUAAAGGGUGCGUAGGCGGGUUUCUAAGUCAGAGGUGAAAGCCUGGAGCUCAACUCCAGAACUGCCUUUGAUACUGGAAGUCUUGAGUAUGGCAGAGGUGAGUGGAACUGCGAGUGUAGAGGUGAAAUUCGUAUAUAUUCGCAAGAACACCAGUGGCGAAGGCGGCUCACUGGGCCAUUACUGACGCUGAGGCACGAAAGCGUGGGGGAGCAAACAGGAUUAGAUACCCUGGUAGUCCACGCCGUAAACGAUGAAUGCCAGCCGUUAGUGGGUUUACUCACUAGUGCCGCAGCUAACGCUUUAAGCAUUCCGCCUGGGGGAGUACGGGUCGCAAGAUUAAAACUUCAAAG